CUUAACUGUGAGACUGCGUUUGAAACUGUAGGGCUUGAGUACAACAGAGGAGAGCGGAAUUCCUGGUGUAGUGGUGAAAUACGUAGAUAUCAGGAAGAACACCAGUGGCGAAGGCGGCUCUCUGGGUUGAUACUGACGCUCAGGUACGAAAGCCGGGGGAGCAAACGGGAUUAGAUACCCCGGUAGUCCCGGCAGUAAACGAUGGACACCAGGUGUUGGGGGUUCGAAUCCCUCAGUGCCGCAGUUAACGCAGUAAGUGUCCCGCCUGGGGAUUACGGUCGCAAGACUGAAACUCAAAGGAAUUGACGGGGGCCCGCACAAGCGGUGGAGCAUGUGGUUUAAUUCGAUGCAACGCGAAAAACCUUACCGAGAUUUGACAUCCCGUGACUACCUAUGAAAGUAGGGUUUGGCA
RNAcentral lists this ribosomal RNA (412 nucleotides) under uncultured bacterium. RNAcentral describes it as "bacterial SSU rRNA". It matches the Rfam family "Bacterial small subunit ribosomal RNA", at positions 608 to 1019 of the family's 1533-position model. The record is from RNAcentral.